Molecule: long non-coding RNA, 1098 nt
Organism: Sorghum bicolor (sorghum)
Lineage: Eukaryota; Viridiplantae; Streptophyta; Magnoliopsida; Poales; Poaceae
Exons: 2
Source: RefSeq, a predicted model, not a curated record
CACACACACACGCCUGCGCGCCGCCGCCGCCGCACCCCAUCCGCCACCGCCGCCGCCGCACCCCAUCCGCCGCCGCCGCUGACCAGAUCCGGCGCCACUGGCCCACACAGCCCCUGCCCCUGGCCCGCCCCUCCCCAUGCCCCGCACUCCGCCGCCGCCUCACCCCGCACGGCCGCCGCGUCCCCGCACCCGCACGGCCGCCGCUUUGCCUACGCAACCUACGAGCUGCUGCUGAGCCCCGACCGGAUCGAGCUGCUGCUGAGCGGGCGGUGCGUGUCGCUGCUGCUGUGGCUGGAGGAGCGGUACGAGGUGGUGUACAGCCGCCACCCGGAGUUCCAGGCCGGCACCCGCCCGCUGCUCGCGCUCGACAACCCGUUCCCCACCACGCUCCCCGAGAACCUCUUCGGCGACAAGUGGGCGUUCGUGCAGCUCCCCUUCUCCGCUGUGAGAGAGGAGGUGGAGUCACUGGGGAGGAGGUACGCGGCUGGACUUGGAUCUGCUAGGGUUCGAGCUUGAUGACAGCACACUAGUCCCUGGCGUCGCCGUGGAAUCAUCUCGCGCCAAGCCUCUAGCCGGUAAGUUUGUACCAAAUACUAGAUACUAGAAGAAUGACAGUAAUGUGCUGUCUCGGUGUACUGAAUAAAACUCUAAAAAAAAGCAGUCUGAACCCAAACCAUUCAAAAUGUGUGUAGCAAACUGACAAAGAAUUAUUUUUCAUGGCUAAUGCUUGAUUGCAAAUGCAUCUAUCUAUAUGUUCUGAUUAUGGGGCGCAAGCCCUGCAAAAUGCUUUUUUGUUGGUAAAAGAACUACUAAGUUAUUGAAUAGUACUUGCAUAUCAGGAGUACCGUGGUGGAGUGGAUACAUGUUCAUCUCUGCUUGCUAGCUGUUGGUUUAUACUAUUAUUUAUCAUAUAUGUACUGCAGUAGUGUGCACAACAUGGGAUUGGGGGUGAUGUUCUUUGAGUUGGGAAUUUGUUAGUAUGAACUUUUGGUUUAUGUUGAACUUUAUGUUAGAUUUGUCAUAUCUAUGUGGAUUUGUGAUAUCUGUGGACUUCGAUAUGUUUCAUGUGUGAUAUAUAUGUGGAUUGUGAUAUAGACA